GAGAAAAAUGUCUACAUUGAUGACCUCUACUGCUUUUAUGGCCACCUGGAAGGAUCUCCAAGUUGACCUACUGCACUCCUUGCUGGAAACCUUCAGGUCAGAGGUCAUGCUGAUGUUUCCACUUAGAGCAGACAGACAGGUCCAGCUGAUCUCUACCUGCUUUGUUACCAGGAGAAUGGCAU
Long non-coding RNA from Oryzias melastigma (Indian medaka), 182 nucleotides. RefSeq lists it as uncharacterized. The record is from RefSeq and is a predicted model, not a curated record. The transcript is spliced from 3 exons. Lineage: Eukaryota; Metazoa; Chordata; Actinopteri; Beloniformes; Adrianichthyidae.